RNAcentral lists this ribosomal RNA (287 nucleotides) under uncultured bacterium. Its description in RNAcentral is "partial 16S ribosomal RNA". It matches the Rfam family "Bacterial small subunit ribosomal RNA", at positions 334 to 639 of the family's 1533-position model. The record is from RNAcentral.
UACGUCUACGGGACGCAGCAGUGGGGAAUAUUGCACAAUGGGGGGAACCCUGAUGCAGCGACGCCGCGUGAGUGAAGAAGUAUUUCGGUAUGUAAAGCUCUAUCAGCAGGGAAGAAGAUGACGGUACCUGACUAAGAAGCCCCGGCUAACUACGUGCCAGCAGCCGCGGUAAUACGUAGGAUGCGAGCGUUAUCCGGAUUUAUUGGGUUUAAAGGGUGCGCAGGCGGGAGAUCAAGUCAGCGGGAAAAUGUCGGGGCUCAACCCCGGCCGGCUGUUGAAACUGGUUU